Molecule: non-coding RNA, 323 nt
Organism: Labrus bergylta (ballan wrasse)
Lineage: Eukaryota; Metazoa; Chordata; Actinopteri; Labriformes; Labridae
Source: RefSeq, a predicted model, not a curated record
CCUCUCUGUGUGAGGAACAUGAAGCUCUGAGGAUGAAGAGACAGAGACCAGACUCUCCUGGACCCAGCUGUGUGUCCAUGAAGCGUGAUGACUCUAAAGAUUUCCCUAUUGACUUUAAAGAUGGACGUCCUGCUGAUGGAAGGAUGAAGAGACAGAGACCAGACUCUCCUGGACCCAGCUGUGUGUCCAUGAAGAGUGAUUGGUGUAUAAUGUGUAUCUUGGUUCAGAGCUUCAUAAUAUAUGACACAUUGUUUUCUUGUGUCACAGAGUUCAACAGGAGAGCUCAGAGGUUCACAGAGAUCAAUCAGACCAGCAGAAUCCAA